Pimephales promelas (fathead minnow) is the source of this 692-nucleotide long non-coding RNA. RefSeq lists it as uncharacterized. The record is from RefSeq and is a predicted model, not a curated record. Lineage: Eukaryota; Metazoa; Chordata; Actinopteri; Cypriniformes; Leuciscidae.
UAGCCGUGUGACAUCACCGCCAGCCGGAGUGACUGCGGUUACACACACUAACACACAAAACAUCUAAAACGGGAAAGAGUUGUGAGAUUGACUGUAUAAACAUUUGACAAGAAAUCUGAGGUAAAAUAUUUCUACAGACUUCUGAAAGCUACAGAAAAGAGACGCAAAUGUAGGAUACCGCUGCAAUUCACAGAAACAAGUGGACUCCAGGCAGCGAAAGGUGGAUUUGCAUAGCCUGAGAUGGAAUAUCACACAUUAAAGAAAUUUCAAGGUCUGGGAUAUCUAGCUCUGAGCAGGCGCUGAAGAUUUGCAGCGAUGUCAAAUGAUGUCAAGCCACUGGCUUAUUUCACCAAGGUGUUUCACCAAGUGCUGCUGGGAUUUUUUUCUGCCUGCUGUCAUCAGACUGUACACCGCCUCCUCAUCUUCCGGUCCUCACAGGAGUCUGGGCGGCCUCCCCUGGCACGAUUAAUGAUGCUGUCUCUCCUCCAGUGCUGUUGGAUGGGUGGAAGUGUGAAACGACCGACUGACGUCCAAAUGAACGAACAAUCUCAAUGACGGUGACAGAACUUGCACAUACACUACUGUUCAAAAGUUUAGGGUCUUUUUAAUGCAUUCAAUUGAGCAAACAUGGCAGUAAAGACGUGAAAAUAUUAGCCUACGAAAGAUUUAUGUUUCAAAUAAAUGCUCUUGGU